GAAACGGAUGCUAAUACCGCAUAGGUCUUCGAAUCAGCAUGGUUUGAAGAGGAAAAGAGGCGCAAGCUUUUGCUGAGGAUGGACCCGCGGUGCAUUAGCUAGUUGGUGAGGUAACGGCUCACCAAGGCUGAUGCAUAGCCGACCUGAGAGGGUGAUCGGCCACAUUGGGACUGAGACACGGCCCAAACUCCUACGGGAGGCAGCAGUAGGGAAUCUUCUGCAAUGGACGCAAGUCUGACGGAGCAACGCCGCGUGAGUGAAGAAGGUUUUCGGAUCGUAAACUCUGUUGUUAGAGAAGAACAAGUCAUAGAGUAACUGUUAGCGCC
This 326-nucleotide ribosomal RNA is filed under the name Granulicatella adiacens. Its description in RNAcentral is "bacterial SSU rRNA". It matches the Rfam family "Bacterial small subunit ribosomal RNA", at positions 153 to 476 of the family's 1533-position model. The record is from RNAcentral. Lineage: Bacteria; Bacillati; Bacillota; Bacilli; Lactobacillales; Carnobacteriaceae.